This 69-nucleotide transfer RNA is filed under the name Yersinia pestis. RNAcentral describes it as "tRNA-Lys". The record is from RNAcentral. RNAcentral also lists the same sequence under 1 other name. Lineage: Bacteria; Pseudomonadati; Pseudomonadota; Gammaproteobacteria; Enterobacterales; Yersiniaceae.
GGUCGUUAGCUCAGUUGGCAGACAGUUGACUUUUAAUCAAUGGGUCGCAGGUUCGAGCCGAGCAGAGCG